RNAcentral lists this ribosomal RNA (408 nucleotides) under uncultured bacterium. Its description in RNAcentral is "partial 16S ribosomal RNA". It matches the Rfam family "Bacterial small subunit ribosomal RNA", at positions 28 to 526 of the family's 1533-position model. The record is from RNAcentral.
GACGAACGCUGGCGGCGUGCUUAACACAUGCAAGUCGAACGAAGUGGCGGACGGGUGAGUAACACGUAAUCAACCUGACCUUCAGAGGGGGACAACAGUUAGAAACGACUGCUAAUACCGCAUAAUGAGGGAGGGGAUUGCGUCUGAUUAGCGAGGUGGAGGGGUAACGGCCCACCAAGGCCACGAUCAGUAGCCGGUCUGAGAGGCUGAACGGCAACACUGGGACUGAGACACGGCCCAGACUCCUACGGGAGGCAGCAGGGGGGAAUCUUCCGCAAUGGACGAAAGUCUGACGGAGCAACGCCGCGUGAGUGAUGAAGGCCUUCGGGUUGUAAAGCUCUGUUAAUCAGGACGCGGUACCGGAAUAGAAAGCGACGGCUAACUACGUGCCAGCAGCCGCGGUAAUAC